UUGAACGCUGGCGGCAGGCCUAACACAUGCAAGUCGAGCGGAUGAAGGGAGCUUGCUCCUGGAUUCAGCGGCGGACGGGUGAGUAAUGCCUAGGAAUCUGCCUGGUAGUGGGGGAUAACGUCCGGAAACGGGCGCUAAUACCGCAUACGUCCUGAUGGAGAAAGUGGGGGAUCUUCGGACCUCACGCUAUCAGAUGAGCCUAGGUCGGAUUAGCUAGUUGGUGGGGUAAAGGCCUACCAAGGCGACGAUCCGUAACUGGUCUGAGAGGAUGAUCAGUCACACUGGAACUGAGACACGGUCCAGACUCCUACGGGAGGCAGCAGUGGGGAAUAUUGGACAAUGGGCGAAAGCCUGAUCCAGCCAUGCCGCGUGUGUGAAGAAGGUCUUCGGAUUGUAAAGCACUUUAAGUUGGGAGGAAGGGCAGUAAGUUAAUACCUUGCUGUUUUGACGUUACCAACAGAAUAAGCACCGGCUAACUUCGUG
This 483-nucleotide ribosomal RNA is filed under the name uncultured bacterium. RNAcentral describes it as "partial 16S ribosomal RNA". It matches the Rfam family "Bacterial small subunit ribosomal RNA", at positions 30 to 507 of the family's 1533-position model. The record is from RNAcentral.